AACGAACGCUGGCGGCAUGCCUAACACAUGCAAGUCGAACGAGACCUUCGGGUCUAGUGGCGCCACGGGUGCGUAACGCGUGGGAAUCUGCCCUUGGGUUCGGAAUAACUCAGAGAAAUUUGAGCUAAUACCGGAUGAUGACGAAAAGUCCAAAGAUUUAAUCGCCCAGGGAUGAGCCCGCGUAAGAUUAGCUUGUUGGUGGGGUAAUGGCCUACCAAGGCGACGAUCUUUAGCUGGUCUGAGAGGAUGAUCAGCCACACUGGGACUGAGACACGGCCCAGACUCCUACGGGAGGCAGCAGUGGGGAAUAUUGGACAAUGGGCGCAAGCCUGAUCCAGCAAUGCCGCGUGAGUGAUG
This 357-nucleotide ribosomal RNA is filed under the name uncultured bacterium. RNAcentral describes it as "bacterial SSU rRNA". It matches the Rfam family "Bacterial small subunit ribosomal RNA", at positions 29 to 410 of the family's 1533-position model. The record is from RNAcentral.